CCCAUCAGAUCGACCCUGUUGAUCU
This 25-nucleotide non-coding RNA is filed under the name Cricetulus griseus (Chinese hamster). The record is from RNAcentral. Lineage: Eukaryota; Metazoa; Chordata; Mammalia; Rodentia; Cricetidae.